CAUCAUCAGUGUCCCAGCCAGGCAGAAGGGAGGAAUCAUCCUGGCAUGUUCUGCAACCAGCGGAGGCCCUGAGAAAGCAUGUUGAACUGACUGGAACCGUUGGCAGGGCAGAGUCCCUGGGGCACCAGCCUCUUCUCUCCCGAAUUUAUCUGCCCUAUCGAAGAAGGCAAACUACAAGACUAAGGGGAGAACAGGAAGAAGAAGGCGUUUGCCAACCAGCCCUCGGAGGAACAGCAAGAGGAAGCUGGCUGUCAUCCCAGGAAGUCAUCUGACCUCUGGGCUUAGCGAACACAGGAAAGUAACCAGAUACUCAUAAAGCCAGUGUAUGUGCCUGGAACAACAUCCAACUUCCUGUUUUGUUUUCAGUCGUGAAGACUUACUACUCCAGCUAGACUUGUGAGUCUCUCAUGGCACAGUACCGCAGACUGGGUGUUACAAACUACAGGAACUUGUGUUCUCAGAAUGAUGAAGGCUAGAACCCAGAAUCAAGAUGUCAUCAGCCUCCAAGCCACAUUGAAACUGAAGAUGAUGUGGAACGUCUGAUGCUUUUGACACCUUUUCUAUUCUGUCAGUGUGAACGACUCCACUUGGUUUCAUGAACUCUUGGGAAAUCAAAACCAGAACUUCAUGCAUGCAAGACAAUCAUUCAGUGAAUUUAACUGUAACUAACUCCUAUAUUAGCAAUGUUUGCACCCUUAAAUAUUUCAAAUAUUAUCCCAUAAGUCAAAUCAUAUUAUGUUUUACUAAAUAGAAACUAGCUAUUUCAAUAUCAGAGGAUCUUCUUGUUUGCAUUACUGGGUUAUGAUUUGUUUUCCUUCCUGCCAAUCUUUGUCAUUAUCCACUAAAGGCCAGUUAUCUAUCUCCACUUUGAUAAUAUGGGGUAUUAGUAUGUGAUUCACUAAGUUAAUGAAAUGUAUAUAAACAUAAUUAAAGAUAAAACAAAGGUUCA
Molecule: non-coding RNA, 949 nt
Organism: Peromyscus maniculatus bairdii (prairie deer mouse)
Lineage: Eukaryota; Metazoa; Chordata; Mammalia; Rodentia; Cricetidae
Source: RefSeq, a predicted model, not a curated record